This is a long non-coding RNA of Pongo pygmaeus (Bornean orangutan), 940 nucleotides long. RefSeq lists it as uncharacterized. The transcript is spliced from 6 exons. Lineage: Eukaryota; Metazoa; Chordata; Mammalia; Primates; Hominidae. The record is from RefSeq and is a predicted model, not a curated record.
CAGCGCUCCAUUAAGUCAUGCCGUUAUGAUCACGACCACCGCCCGCGGCCGCAGAACCUGCCCGCUCUGCACACCAGGGCGGACACCCACAGACGCGUCCUUCACCCGCGCAGGGACCUGCCAGGGGCGCUUACACCGGAGGGUGUUCAGAGCAGGAAAGGAAGAGAUCAAAUCUGAACCCGGAUCCGUCUCCUACAGAACCUGAGUCGCUCAAUCAUCAGCUAGAUCGCCCAGUGUAGACAAAGCAAGUGGAAUUCUUUGAGGAGUAUACCUUGAGCUGGGCAAUCCUCAUAGAAGGUGGGAGACGACCGGCCCUUCAGUGUUCCUGGGGCAUCUUCUCCAAAGUGGAGGUCGAGGCAGGCCUAGGAGGAAAGAGAGGCAACUGCGGACGACCCCUCCGCAGAGAAGGUGAAACCGACGAGCUCCAGCACACACAGGCACACAACUGAAAAAGACCAUUGCAAGUAAAAUGAAUCAUUAAGCUGUUCAAGCCUAGAAACCACCACCAGAGGUGUCAAAAAUAAUAUAAGACCAGGCAUGAUGGCUCACACCUGGAAUCCCAGCACACCGGGAGGCCAAGGCUGAAGGAUGACUAGAGCCCAGGAUUUCAAGACCAGACUGGGGCUUUUUCACUCAUUCCCUAGGCAUGUGGGACCUCGAGGAUGGCGAAUCAGCUACCGGGAGGUGGCUUAAGUAGGAUUUGCUGCCAGCUAAAGCGUGAGAUGCUAUUGCGUGUGCAAGGCAAGGCUUUCUUCAGCGGCAUCAUCUUCCAAAAUAGCCCAGGUGCCAUUCAUGCCACUGAUCUUUGUUGAGCUCCUACUGUAUGCCAGAUACGUCAGGACACAUUACUGCAAACAGAAACCUUGGUCUUCAUGGAGUGAGCAUGCCUUUUUCCCGAAAAAUAAAAAAUAGUUGGUGUUUACUGCAAAUCGUAUGCCAA